CCGCACCGGGUCCCCCGGAAGCUUUUGACCUGCAGGGUGCUACAAAGUCCAUUCGCUGUUCCUGAGAGGCAGAUGCCCCGUCGGGGGAGAGCAAGAGCCGCCGGUGGGAUCAGCGCCUUUCGGGAUGUCGACGUGCGGGAACGGGAAGCGCAAAGGAGGAGGCCACGCGGCAUGGAAAGAGUCUGAAAAUCACAGGGGUCCUCGAAUGCAGCAGGCGCGCGGAAACGCCUCAUGCCGUCGUCCGACGUGGUAUGGCUUUUCGAGAGAAAA
Molecule: long non-coding RNA, 270 nt
Organism: Hippocampus comes (tiger tail seahorse)
Lineage: Eukaryota; Metazoa; Chordata; Actinopteri; Syngnathiformes; Syngnathidae
Exons: 3
Source: RefSeq, a predicted model, not a curated record